AGCGCAUUCCCACAGGACUAGUGUCAGCCGAAAAUGAUGCAGCCGAACAGUUGUACACAUGCCACAACCCUCCCUGUCAAGGGAGAGGACACGGUUGUGGGGAGAGGGACAUGAAAGGAAGUAAUCAAGGAACCAAAGUCUCAGCAGGACGUGUGAGAGCAGAUUCUUCUCUGUGUCCUCAAACCUCCAAAACCAGGGGACGUGGAGGAACCAGGAGAGCGGAAUUAGCAUCAAAAUACAAACAGCACCAGGCCCAGCCACAACACACACCUGCCUCUGGGAUGGUGUCUGCAGGAAGAACUGCUCCUCUGUUACAGGAAUGGAAGAGCCUUCAAAGGGUCAUGAAGAGAGGUUGUUCAUGGGUCUCUACAUCCCAGGCAAAGAUGAACUCCUGGCCUUUUCGUGGAAGCACAAGGACAGUCUCAGGUAUCUUCUGGGCUAGAGAAGAAAACUUCUUACCCUCCUUGAUCAGCCAGGCCCCUUGAAAGGUGGGCUUCCUUGAUGGAUGAAUUCACCAGAGCUUGCUGCAUCAUUGUCUGUAACCCUGGUGACAGUUCACAUUGCUGCUAGCCAUGGAGGAGGAGGAGGACCCCCCCCCCCCCGCAGCCCCCUCCCCAGCAUCUUCACCAGUGUGAGAGCCAUUAAAUUUCUACCAGUGUCUGGCACUUCAUUGUUCCAUAAAGCUGCCUCUUUCCAGUUCUUAGCAGAUGUGGGUGUCUUUUCAUAACUGAAUUGUGUCGAUCCAUUCAGCUAGUAACUGUCUGUCUUUUAACUGAGGUGUCCUUUCCUCGGUGUCUCCUCAAUGACAGGUCUACAAGGUAAUCUGAAAGUGGGUAGAAAGCACGGCUGAAACCAAGGAUAAGGAGGCACAU
Molecule: long non-coding RNA, 872 nt
Organism: Mus musculus (house mouse)
Lineage: Eukaryota; Metazoa; Chordata; Mammalia; Rodentia; Muridae
Product: predicted gene, 19866
Exons: 4
Source: RefSeq, a predicted model, not a curated record